This 526-nucleotide ribosomal RNA is filed under the name Terriglobus sp. AB23C3. RNAcentral's name for it is "bacterial SSU rRNA". It matches the Rfam family "Bacterial small subunit ribosomal RNA", at positions 56 to 615 of the family's 1533-position model. The record is from RNAcentral. Lineage: Bacteria; Pseudomonadati; Acidobacteriota; Terriglobia; Terriglobales; Acidobacteriaceae.
UGCAGUCGCACGAGAAAGGGUCUUCGGAUCUGAGUAAAGUGGCGCACGGGUGAGUAACACGUGACUAAUCUACCCUCGAGUGGGGAAUAACCUAGGGAAACCUGGGCUAAUACCGCAUAACACUUACGAGUCAAAGCAGCAAUGCGCUUGGGGAGGAGGUCGCGGCAGAUUAGCUAGUUGGCGGGGUAAUGGCCCACCAAGGCGAUGAUCUGUAUCCGGCCUGAGAGGGCGCACGGACACACUGGAACUGAAACACGGUCCAGACUCCUACGGGAGGCAGCAGUGGGGAAUUUUGCGCAAUGGGGGAAACCCUGACGCAGCAACGCCGCGUGGAGGAUGAAGUCUCUUGGGACGUAAACUCCUUUCGAUAGGGAAGAUAAUGACGGUACCUAUAGAAGAAGCCCCGGCUAACUUCGUGCCAGCAGCCGCGGUAAUACGAGGGGGGCAAGCGUUGUUCGGAAUUAUUGGGCGUAAAGGGCGCGUAGGCGGUUUGGCAAGUUUGGUGUGAAAUCUUCGGGCUCAACUC